GUCCUUCCAAGGAUCCCGCCAAUAUUUGGUGAUUCUAGAGAAAGCUGUGAAGGGAAGUCUGACUGUUAGUUUAAACCUUUGUGUUGCCACAGUCAUGCCCAGUGCUGAGGAUCAGAGGGGCUUGAUAAAUAUUUGCUGAAGACAGGAAGGAAAGGAAGGAGAAAAUGGGCCAGAUUUAAACAUCUGAAACAUGUCUAGAAUCUAGAAUUAUGUGUCAGGAAGAGACAGAAAAAGCCACAGCUGAGCGCCCAGCUGUGGAAUGGAAGUUGUCAGGAACGAGCUUAUGACUAGGGACCCAUUCACCAGCAGAUGUGGACUGACAGACUCUUCCAUCAUGAAGAAAGUCUGAGAUGCAAAAUGGAAAAUCCAGUUCUUGGAAGCACAAGAGGAAUAAGGAAUACAUCCUGCCUCUGUGGGACUGGAGAAGUAGUUAGGACCUUAAUCACCCAGACCUCAGAAGAUGGAGAGACUGGGGUUCCCAGGACACAGAGGCAUUGAGGUCACCAGGAUGAAUAAUCCAAAAUUCUGUCUAGGAUAUUCCCCUAAUUCAGGUAAUUAUUCAUCAUAAAAUCCAGUGGAAGCUGCAGGAGGGCUUCCAUAUUCUUCAUAGAGAAUGCCGAGGUCUGGCAGAACCAGAAACCCAACAGCUUAUUGCACACCUUCCUAGUGGCUGGUUACCAGCUUACUAAUCCUGUAUAGCUGAGCAGAUAAGGCAAGUUCUUUUUGGUCCGGUAAAAGACCUACUUCUCCCAUUCAGAUUUUAAAGAGAGAAAGCAAAAAGCACCUUGGGCGACCAUCACCUGAAGAAGUAAGAUGGGAGAGUAAUUUUUCUCUAAGCACGGUUCUUUAGGAAAGUGUGAUGGACAGGAGCAAAAUGCUCCUGAAGGGAGAGAGGCAUGCUGUUUCACCUUGACUCCCAAUCAACCCAGUCCCUGGCACACACUCCUGCUCCCAGGGUGGGGUUAUUUGCCCUUCCUCAUUUCUUCUGCAUUUCCCAUUUCAGCAUAUUUAGUACAUUAGUUUUACAAUCACCUGAUUAUUUUAUCUUAUGUCUGAUUAGAUUUGUUCCUUUGUUUGUUUGUUUGUUUUAUGUUUUAUUCUGAGCAACUCAGCAUCAAAAGACCUAGGUUCAGAAUAUAGGCAAUACCAAGAGAAAUUACACAAAUACACCACUUAAACAGCUUUUACUCAUUUCCUUCUUUCAAGAAGCCAAGUAACAAUAGCAAGCAAGGAAGAGGAGACAGUAGUGGGUGGUAGGCACAUACCACGUGUUUGGGGAUUAAUUAAUGUUUCUCACUGCCUUGGCUGCCACUCAUUCUCAGCCAGUAGUUCUAAUGGUCUCUGCUGGCAGAGGUCUUUGCCCUAGUCUUUGCCACUGGUUGGAGUCACCUCACCAUCAGUACGUGGUAGUCAUGACCUCUCAAGCAGUGGCAGGAAUCCACAUUUGUCAUGGCUUGGUGGGUGUUCCCAUGUUCUGACUA
Molecule: long non-coding RNA, 1481 nt
Filed under: Callithrix jacchus (white-tufted-ear marmoset)
Lineage: Eukaryota; Metazoa; Chordata; Mammalia; Primates; Cebidae
Description: lncRNA (ENSCJAG00000073516.1)
Source: RNAcentral